GGGUACAGCUCAGUGGUAGAGCACAUGCUUAGCAUGCACAAGGGCCUGGGUUCAAUUCCCAGAAUGUCCA
Molecule: transfer RNA, 70 nt
Filed under: Camelus bactrianus (Bactrian camel)
Lineage: Eukaryota; Metazoa; Chordata; Mammalia; Artiodactyla; Camelidae
Also listed under: 2 other names
Rfam family: tRNA
About the family: Transfer RNA (tRNA) molecules are approximately 80 nucleotides in length.
Source: Rfam by way of RNAcentral